RNAcentral lists this ribosomal RNA (443 nucleotides) under uncultured bacterium. RNAcentral's name for it is "bacterial SSU rRNA". It matches the Rfam family "Bacterial small subunit ribosomal RNA", at positions 28 to 502 of the family's 1533-position model. The record is from RNAcentral.
GACGAACGCUGGCGGCGUGCCUAACACAUGCAAGUCGAGCGAGGUGUAUACACCUAGCGGCGGACGGGUGAGUAACACGUGGGUGACCUGCCUCAAAGUGGGGAAUAGCCUCUCGAAAGGGAGAUUAAUACCGCAUAACAUACGCAUAUUUAACGCUGCGUAUCAAAGGAGAAAUCCGCUUUGAGAUGGGCCCGCGGCGCAUUAGCUAGUUGGAGAGGUAACGGCUCACCAAGGCGACGAUGCGUAGCCGACCUGAGAGGUGAUCGGCCACAUUGGAACUGAGACACGGUCCAGACUCCUACGGGAGGCAGCAGUGGGGAAUAUUGCACAAUGGGGGAAACCCUGAUGCAGCAACGCCGCGUGAACGAGAAGGCCUCGGUCGUAAGUACUUGUAUUGGGGACGAUAAUGACGGUACCCGAAAAACAAAGACCACGGCGUAACU